GUGCCAGCAGCCGCGGUAAUACGUAGGUGGCAAGCGUUGUCCGGAUUUAUUGGGUUUAAAGGGUGCGUAGGCGGUUCCAUAAGUCAGUGGUGAAAUACGGCAGCUCAACUGUCGAGGUGCCAUUGAUACUGCGGAACUUGAGUACUGAUGAGGUAGGCGGAAUUGACGGUGUAGCGGUGAAAUGCUUAGAUAUCGUCAAGAACACCGAUAGCGAAGGCAGCUUACCAAGCAGUAACUGACGCUGAGGCACGAAAGUGCGGGGAUCAAACAGGAUUAGAAACCCUCGUAGUCC
Molecule: ribosomal RNA, 292 nt
Filed under: uncultured bacterium
Lineage: Bacteria
Description: partial 16S ribosomal RNA
Rfam family: Bacterial small subunit ribosomal RNA
Source: RNAcentral